UCUAAAAGUGCUUGUCAACAAACUGUCAACUGUUGUCUUAUAAUAUUCUUCAGUUACUGCUUUACUUUCCAGCCAUUGAUGAGAUAAGUGACAAAAGAAAGCGUUAGCGGUUGAAUCCGUCCCAAAAUUGGACCGGAGCCGAAACAACAGAAUUUUUAGGAACUGUUAUGGAGGAAGUCAAACAAAACCAGGAGGCGUUUGAGAAACCUACUGCCCAAUACUUUCAUAAGAAGAUUGCUGAGAAGGUACCAUCCAUUCAAGCUCUGAGCUGGACGGUGAUGAAGAGUAAAAUGCGUAAUUUAAAGACGUCAUAUCUGAAAGCAAAAUCGUGGAGAGGUCAGACUGGGGCUGGCCUUUUGGCGGAGGGUAAUGAAUCGAGUGUGUCGGAGUAUAUUCAUAAAAUAUGCCCUCAUUGGCAGAUUCUGGAGUAAACUUUCGGUCUGCGGAAAACUGUCAACCCGGUCGUUGUGAUUGACACAUCAAGCAGCAACUAUGAAGAAUGCAUCAAUGGAACGGAUGUUGUGGGCCAAUUCGAAGGAACUAAUCAAGAAGUUACCUACGUCGAAGAGGUAAUUGAAGAGCAAGUGGUUGAGCAAGAUUCUGAUGAUAUACCGGAUCCGACUGCACAGCCGAGUACCAGCGGAAUGAGUUUUAUGGCAUUCAAGAACCAGUUAAAAAAGCAGCCUUUGAAGAGGAAUAAAGCAACAUCUAAUUCUGGAUCCAUUUCUUUUUUGGUGGACUACAAGAGAAAAAGCUGAAGUUCGAAGACACAAAAUGGAAUAAGCAGAUGCAAUUGGAUGAGGAAAGACUACAGUUGGCUAAAUUGCAGAUGAAAAAUUAAAUUGAGUUGAAAAAAAUUGAAUUGCAGCAACAGAUGAAAAUAAGAAAAUUUGAAUUGGACAAGGAAGAAAGACUUGCAGUAAUCAGAAUGAAAUUGGACGUGGAGUGUAUGGAAAGGAUUAAGAAGUACGAACUUGAUUUUUAAAUCAAAUAAUCAUGCUUAAUUGCUCAACUCUUGAACUAAGACAAUUGAUUAAUCA
Molecule: long non-coding RNA, 1040 nt
Organism: Armigeres subalbatus
Lineage: Eukaryota; Metazoa; Arthropoda; Insecta; Diptera; Culicidae
Exons: 3
Source: RefSeq, a predicted model, not a curated record